UACGAACUGCGCAAACGUUAUUCGGAAUCACUGGGCUUACAGGGUGCGUAGGCGGCCCAUCAGGUCAGAUGUGAAAUCCCACAGCUCAACUGUGGAACUGCAUUUGAAACCGAUGGGCUUGAGUGAGCUAGAGGUAUACGGAACUUCCGGUGGAGCGGUGAUAUGUGUUGAUAUCGGAAGGAACACCAGAGGCGAAAGCGGUAUACUGGAGCUUGUCUGACGCUGAGGCACGAAAGCCAGGGGAGCGAACGGG
RNAcentral lists this ribosomal RNA (253 nucleotides) under uncultured bacterium. Its description in RNAcentral is "partial 16S ribosomal RNA". It matches the Rfam family "Bacterial small subunit ribosomal RNA", at positions 524 to 776 of the family's 1533-position model. The record is from RNAcentral.